Molecule: small nucleolar RNA, 107 nt
Organism: Dioscorea cayenensis subsp. rotundata (Guinea yam)
Lineage: Eukaryota; Viridiplantae; Streptophyta; Magnoliopsida; Dioscoreales; Dioscoreaceae
Source: RefSeq, a predicted model, not a curated record
AUUCCGUGCUGUGGGCAUUUCCUCAACAUUUCCUUGUACAUCUCCCAAGUGUCAUACAAGGAUUCAGACUCUGAUUGCAAAAAGGACGAAAUGUCACUCCUCAGCUU